GGCCAGUUAGCUCAGUCAGAGUGUGGUGCUGAUAACGCCAAGGUCGUGGGUUCAAUCCCCAUUCGGUCCC
This 70-nucleotide transfer RNA is filed under the name Apaloderma vittatum (bar-tailed trogon). It matches the Rfam family "tRNA". Rfam says of the family: Transfer RNA (tRNA) molecules are approximately 80 nucleotides in length. Lineage: Eukaryota; Metazoa; Chordata; Aves; Trogoniformes; Trogonidae. The record is from Rfam by way of RNAcentral.